AAGCAGCAAUGCGCUAGGAGAUGGGCUCGCGGCCUAUUAGUUAGUUGGUGAGGUAACGGCUCACCAAGGCGAUGACGGGUAGCCGGUCUGAGAGGAUGUCCGGCCACACUGGAACUGAGACACGGUCCAGACACCUACGGGUGGCAGCAGUCGAGAAUCAUUCACAAUGGGGGCAACCCUGAUGGUGCGACGCCGCGUGGGGGAAUGAAGGUCUUCGGAUUGUAAACCCCUGUCAUGUGGGAGCAAAUUAAAAAGAUAGUACCACAAGAGGAAGAGACGGCUAACUCUGUGCCAGCAGCCGCGGUAAUACAGAGGUCUCAAGCGUUGUUCGGAAUCACUGGGCGUAAAGCGUGCGUAGGCUGUUUCGUAAGUCGUGUGUGAAAGGCAGGGGCUCAACCCCUGGAUUGCACAUGAUACUGCGAGACUAGAGUAAUGGAGGGGGAACCGGAAUUCUCGGUGUAGCAGUGAAAUGCGUAGAUAUCGAGAGGAACACUCGUGGCGAAGGCGGGUUCCUGGACAUUAACUGACGCUGAGGCACGAAGGCCAGGGGAGCGAAAGGGAUUAGAUACCCCUGUAGUCCUGGCAGUAAACGGUGCACGCUUGGUGUGCGGGGAAUCGACCCCCUGCGUGCCGGAGCUAACGCGUUAAGCGUGCCGCCUGGGGAGUACGGUCGCAAGAUUAAAACUCAAAGAAAUUGACGGGGACCCGCACAAGCGGUGGAGUAUGUGGCUUAAUUCGAUGCAACGCGAAGAACCUUACCUGGGCUUGACAUGUAAUGAACAACAUGUGAAAGCAUGCGACUCUUCGGAGGCGUUACACAGGUGCUGCAUGGCCGUCGUCAGCUCGUGUCGUGAGAUGUUUGGUUAAGUCCAGCAACGAGCGCAACCCCUGUUGCCAGUUACCAGCACGUCAAGGUGGGGACUCUGGCGAGACUGCCCAGAUCAACUGGGAGGAAGGUGGGGACGACGUCAGGUCAGUAUGGCCCUUAUGCCCAGGGCUGCACACGUACUACAAUGCCCAGUACAGAGGGGGCCGAAGCCGCGAGGCGGAGGAAAUCCUGAAAACUGGGCCCAGUUCGGACUGUAGGCUGCAACCCGCCUACACGAAGCCGGAAUCGCUAGUAAUGGCGCAUCAGCUACGGCGCCGUGAAUACGUUCCCGGGUCUUGUACACACCGCCCGUCACAUCAUGGAAGCCGGUCGCACCCGAAGUAUCUGAAGCCAACCGCAAGGAGGCAGGGUCCUAAGGUGAGACUGGUAACUGGGAUGAAGUCGUAACAAGGU
This 1282-nucleotide ribosomal RNA is filed under the name Bacteroides caccae. RNAcentral describes it as "bacterial SSU rRNA". It matches the Rfam family "Bacterial small subunit ribosomal RNA", at positions 202 to 1497 of the family's 1533-position model. Lineage: Bacteria; Pseudomonadati; Bacteroidota; Bacteroidia; Bacteroidales; Bacteroidaceae. The record is from RNAcentral.